RNAcentral lists this long non-coding RNA (455 nucleotides) under Equus asinus (donkey). Its description in RNAcentral is "lncRNA (ENSEASG00005035555.1)". Lineage: Eukaryota; Metazoa; Chordata; Mammalia; Perissodactyla; Equidae. The record is from RNAcentral.
GUAAGUAGCGCAGAUAAUUCUCUUCCCACGGAUGUUGCAGCUACUCUCUCGGAUAUUUUCUUUUUAAUAGAGCAAAAAUAAUUCCCUGCUUUAAAGAAGAAAAAAAAGCCUUCUCAGUGUCCCCAAAAAUAAUCCAUAACCAAUCUAUAAGUGAAAAUUUGGGUGAGUUUAUUCUGAGCCAAAAUCUGAGGACCACGGCCCAGGGCCUUUCUUCCCAAAGGAAGGGCACCAAAGAAGUGGGGUGUACAGAGUGGUUAUAUACCCCCAAAGAGGAUGUUUCACAUAUGAUUCAAAUGUCCGGAGACUGCUCUCGGCAUAGUGAUUGAUGGACACAGCAGGUAGGUCUGCUGUCUCCGUAGACACAGCAGGAUGGCAGGUCUGUUGUCUCCAGCUGGGUGGUCACAGGAAUAUUAGCCCUGAGCUAACUGUUGCCAAUCCUCCUCUUUUUGCUGAGG